This 1201-nucleotide long non-coding RNA is filed under the name Anser cygnoides (Swan goose). RNAcentral's name for it is "lncRNA (ENSACDG00005007510.1)". Lineage: Eukaryota; Metazoa; Chordata; Aves; Anseriformes; Anatidae. The record is from RNAcentral.
AUGGCAAAUUCAUGGUGUGAUCCUCUAUCUGAGGUCCAGUGCCAAUGGCCAAUAGCUCUAUUCAACCUAUGUUUCUCCACAAUUCAGUUAGUAAGUGUUCCAGUGAGUAAUACAGCAUAUAGAGUCAUAUUUAUUCUCCACAAACAGACCAAAGUCUCAGAAAAUUUCUUUAAGGAACACUUCAUGCUCCUAAACUCAUGAGCUAUAUGGAGAACCCACAUCAGUAGGUUCUCCUAGCAUGAUUGCCUCCAUUUUUCACAACUAUGCUGAGAAGAGUUCCUGAUCUUUCCUGGUAUUGCCCAUUGAAGGGGAAGGAAAAAGUAUAAAUAUAUUGUGAAAAGAACACCCAGUUAAGGAUCCUUGAGCUCGUUUUUUUAAAUCACUCACUUCCUAUGGAUAAAAAGUAUGUAGACACUCAUUAGGUGAAAACGUUUUGGUCCCCAAAGGGACCCAAACUGUAGCUUCCCACUACUAACAGCUAACCCUAUGACCAUACACUUGGAGUCCAGCAGCUGUGUCACAAGGUCUUCUUUUAUUGCUUGCAGCCAGCGCACAAUGUAGCAGGAGGCUCUCAAUGGACAGGACAGCUGUACUCGCAUUAAAUGUACCCUUAUUUUUCAUGCAAUCUGACUAUAAAUCUACAGCUUAAUUUCCAAACUGACUCUUACUGUUAACUCUCUUAAUUCCUGUCAGACAUUCUUAGGAUCUCAACCUAAUUUAUGCCAACUCUUUCUACUUUCAACCAUAAAUGAGAACAAUAGGGACAAUCUGGGAGAUGUAUGGGUCCUAAAAAGUACCUAUAGAUCCACUGGCCAUUAAAUACCCUGGCAAGUAGGUCAACCCCCCAGCUUAAUACUCUACCUUGAAAGCAAUAUAGUCCUUGAUGACAAUGAGUGAUUGUUGGUUCUUGAAGGUGCAUGGAUGGAGCCCCAGGGUAAAUCUGGGAGCUAGAGGUUCUGUGAAGAUUACUUCAGCUCCUUAAUUUAUCCCAAUUUAUAAACGGGUGUUUCUUGCCUGGAUAACUUGUCACCAAAGCCAGAAAAUUUUACUGUGAGAAUCCCUGGUUGCCUAUCCUUUAUAUGUUUAUGUUGUAGAGGGGACAGUCUAGUUCUACAUGCUCCUUCAGGAAAUUAUUAAUUGUAUUGGGCUUGUGUAAAAUCAAGAGAUCCCCAAAAGGCUGUUUACCAAAUACAGUUACUUU